Molecule: ribosomal RNA, 585 nt
Filed under: Kaistella anthropi
Lineage: Bacteria; Pseudomonadati; Bacteroidota; Flavobacteriia; Flavobacteriales; Weeksellaceae
Description: bacterial SSU rRNA
Rfam family: Bacterial small subunit ribosomal RNA
Source: RNAcentral
AGCGGGAGGCCUAACACAUGCAAGCCGAGCGGUAGAGUUCCUUCGGGAACUUGAGAGCGGCGUACGGGUGCGUAACACGUGUGCAACCUACCUUUAUCUGGGGGAUAGCCUUUCGAAAGGAAGAUUAAUACCCCAUAAUAUAAUGAUUGGCAUCAAUUAUUAUUGAAAACUCCGGUGGAUAGAGAUGGGCACGCGCAAGAUUAGAUAGUUGGUGAGGUAACGGCUCACCAAGUCAAUGAUCUUUAGGGGUCCUGAGAGGGAGAUCCCCCACACUGGUACUGAGACACGGACCAGACUCCUACGGGAGGCAGCAGUGAGGAAUAUUGGACAAUGGGUGAGAGCCUGAUCCAGCCAUCCCGCGUGAAGGAUGACGGUCCUAUGGAUUGUAAACUUCUUUUGUACAGGGAUAAACCUACUCUCGUGAGGGUAGCUGAAGGUACUGUACGAAUAAGCACCGGCUAACUCCGUGCCAGCAGCCGCGGUAAUACGGAGGGUGCAAGCGUUAUCCGGAUUUAUUGGGUUUAAAGGGUCCGUAGGCGGACUUGUAAGUCAGUGGUGAAAUCUCAUAGCUUAACUAUGAAACUG